GAUUUCUGGUCGGGCGUGCCCAGUCCAGCGGGGUAACCUGUUGAGUGCUGGUGUGCGCCUACCAUCUUUCUAGUGAAUGGCACUACCCUUUACUGGGCCGGUGUCACCAGCUAGAUCUUUUACUUUGAAAAAAUUAGAGUGUUUAAAGCAGGCUUGUGCUAUGAAUAUAUUAGCAUGGAAUAAUAAUUUAGGACUUUGUUUCUAUUUUAUUGGUUUCUAGGAAUGAAGUAAUGAUUGAUAGGGAUAGUUGGGGGUGCUAGUAUUCAGCGGCCAGAGGUGAAAUUCUUGGAUUCGCUGAAGACUAACUUAUGCGAAAGCAUU
This 321-nucleotide ribosomal RNA is filed under the name uncultured Paracercomonas. RNAcentral describes it as "SSU rRNA". The stretch from base 34 to 321 matches the Rfam family "Eukaryotic small subunit ribosomal RNA", at positions 664 to 955 of the family's 1831-position model. The record is from RNAcentral. Lineage: Eukaryota; Cercozoa; Cercomonadida; Cercomonadidae.